RNAcentral lists this ribosomal RNA (253 nucleotides) under uncultured bacterium. Its description in RNAcentral is "partial 16S ribosomal RNA". It matches the Rfam family "Bacterial small subunit ribosomal RNA", at positions 524 to 776 of the family's 1533-position model. The record is from RNAcentral.
UACAUGGGGUGCAAACGUUGCUCGGAAUCAUUGGGCGUAAAGCGCGCGUAGGCGGUUACUUAAGUCGAAUGUGAAAGCCCUCGGCUUAACCGAGGAAGUGCAUCCGAAACUGAGUAGCUAGAGUACGAAAGAGGGUCGCGGAAUUCCCGGUGUAGAGGUGAAAUUCGUAGAUAUCAGGAGGAACACCGGUGGCGAAGGCGGGUCUCUGGGCCGUAACUGACGCUGAGGAGCGAAAGCAUGGGGAGCGAACAGG